This 253-nucleotide ribosomal RNA is filed under the name uncultured bacterium. Its description in RNAcentral is "partial 16S ribosomal RNA". It matches the Rfam family "Bacterial small subunit ribosomal RNA", at positions 524 to 776 of the family's 1533-position model. The record is from RNAcentral.
GACAGAGGGUGCAAACGUUGUUCGGAAUCACUGGGCGUAAAGCGUGUGUAGGCGGCCAUAUAAGUCGGAUGUGAAAGCCCUGGGCUCAACCCAGGAAGUGCACCCGAAACUGUGUGGCUUGAGUACUGGAGAGGUUGGUGGAAUUCUCGGUGUAGAGGUGAAAUUCGUAGAUAUUAGGAAGAACACCAGAGGCGAAGGCGACUUUCUGGGCCAAUACUGACGCUGAGGCGCGAAAGCGUGGGGAGCAAACAGG